Molecule: ribosomal RNA, 229 nt
Filed under: uncultured bacterium
Lineage: Bacteria
Description: partial 16S ribosomal RNA
Rfam family: Bacterial small subunit ribosomal RNA
Source: RNAcentral
UGCGCAGGCGGAGCGACAAGUCAGUGGUGAAAUCCUACGGCUCAACCGUAGAACUGCCAUUGAUACUACCGUUCUUGAGUACAGUUGAGGUAGGCGGAAUGUAGCAUGUAGCGGUGAAACGCAUAGAUAUGCUACAGAACACCAAUAGCGAAGGCUGCUUACCAAACUGAGACUGACGCUCAGGCACGAAAGCGUGGGGAGCAAACAGGAUUAGAUACCCUGGUAGUCC